UUCAAAAUAUUAACAAAAUUAGUUUUGUUUCAGUUCAAGGACCAAUGCCAUUUUGUCUUUAUUUAUAAAGAUCUGGCAUCACUAUCUAACUGAAUAUCAUAUCUUACCUACUGAAAUUAAUUUUAUCCACCAUACUAAUACAAUACUGCUUUUAACGGAAAGUUUCUAGAUUAAAAAAAAGGGCAAGAUAGUAAGAUAGAGACUAUUCAAUUUAAUCCCACCCCCUUUAAAAAUAAUUAAACUAUUCUAUUCUUUUCUGGUUUCCAUUUUGCCAAUCACUCAACUAUUGUCUGACUAAAUCUCACCAUUCAAACUACACCUCAUAUUUGAAAGCAAUUCUCCCAUCCUUUUUUAAAUUAAAAAACAGGAAAUAUAGAUUUGUUCCAUCUAGUGACAGCCAACAUUUCCACUACAGUCAACAUUAUAAAAUACUUUCAAGCAGUAGCACAACCAUGCAAUUCCCUUGUUUUAAAAAAAAUGCUACGGUACCAUAUUAGUCUUCUAAUGAGAAAAACAAUUUGUAAUUAAUAUUGAAAUGAACAUAGUCUUAAGAAUAAAACAGUAAUGUUGUCCAUUUAUUUUUUUAACUUUGGAAAUUACAUAUUAUGAAGUCUUUCCAAUAGUUUGCAUAAAUAUUUUAAACAUUUUCCCGACUACAUGAAGUGCAGCAGGGAACAGACCAGGUAAGCCACAUUCAAAGAUGAAUUUACAAACCUAAUUGAGAGCUGUCUAGUUUAUGACAUUUCUUUGUAUUUGCGUCACUGCUUAAUCUUAUCAUAAUCACAUAGAAUUAACUUUCAAGUUAAAACUGUAUGUGUAUAUUCUACCAGAUGUAAUCUGUGUGCAGUGUUCUACAUCGGUGAUUGAAGUUGAUUUUAAAAGAUGUGUCACCGAAGUUUUUAAUUAACGUUUAUUAAGCAUAAAUUUAGCUCAUUUUCAAACUAAUGACAUCCUUGUUUCAAAUCUAUUUUCAGUGACAAACCUACUGGCAAGAAUUCUGCUAAUGCAAAGACUAGGUUAUGUAAGAGAUUUUGUGGGGGUGGAGAUGGAAGAAACCUCUCCUCUUCCACUACUUGAGAAUGGUCCUUCCCUCAUUUGACACUUUCCAGAUAAGGUUCUGAGGAUCCUUCCACCCAAGGCCUCAUAAUAAAGAAAAAGAUACCAUGAUGACUAUACUGGACCAUCUGCCAACAAUCUCAAUUCUUUGGGAGUCAGGAAGACCACAAGUACACAAGUACCAUCAGUAAGCAAGCUGGAACAGGCAGGGAUCUCUUGAGGAGUGUCAACUGUGACCUGAGUUUGAUUAAAAGGUUCCAAGCCCACUGAUGAAUAUCAGGGGUUCACAAAUGAAAAAAGGUUGAAAACCACUGUUCUAGAUCAAGGAAGAUUAAUAAGAUGUGGGCCAUGACUCUGCAAACCGAUUAAAGAAACCAAAAGGAUAUGCUAAGAUAAAUGAAGUUUGGAUAACUAAGAAGUUGACUGGCUGGUUUCUCCUAUGGAAGUAUGAAUCACAAGAACACAACGGGAAUUAACACCACCAAGCUAGUUGGCCUUAAGGAACACCGUCUGCUGUCCAUAAAUUCUGGCUCAGCUGGCCUUGAAAAUUAUGCUCAAGGUCAGGAAAAAGCCUGUGAAUCUGUCACUCCUGACGACAGUAUUUGAAAAUGUGGGGCACCCCCCACAGAUCUCUGGAUAACAGAUUGCAAUGUAUAUGUUUAAUAAUAACUCCUUUCCUCUUUGUCAUCUCCUUUUGAUAGCAUCACUCUGUGACUUCACAGUUUCCAUAUACACUAUUAAUGGACACUACCAUCAGCAAUAGCCACUUUUUCUAGUUUGGACAAGGCCCUUCUCUUCCUCCCUAGCUGACUCAAACACAGUGUUGGUGGGUUCUGGAAGGAGCCAUACCUAGCAAUCUUAGAGCAGAAAGCAAAGGUGUUCUUAUGUAUGGGAUGUUUAUAAUGUGAAAAAUAAAGGACAUUUAGCGAUCCCCAAAGCUCUCCAGCAUGCAAAAGCCUUUAAAUCAAGUGUUUCAGAAGUAAUAAACACACAUGCCAGUGAGCACAUAGAGUUGUAAACAGAAUAAUUAAGGUUUCACCAAAGAAAACAAACAGGAAGUUUUACCAAGCAAUACAGUAUUAAAAAUAAGCAGCUGU
Molecule: non-coding RNA, 2153 nt
Organism: Pelodiscus sinensis (Chinese soft-shelled turtle)
Lineage: Eukaryota; Metazoa; Chordata; Testudines; Trionychidae
Source: RefSeq, a predicted model, not a curated record